Molecule: non-coding RNA, 2948 nt
Organism: Lepisosteus oculatus (spotted gar)
Lineage: Eukaryota; Metazoa; Chordata; Actinopteri; Semionotiformes; Lepisosteidae
Source: RefSeq, a predicted model, not a curated record
UUCACUGUGAAUUUGUUUUUUUCAUAAGACAGACUAGUGUUAAAAUGAUUAUAUAGUUAAUAACAUUUAACAUAUGGCAAUUUUUUCCAUGUGUAUAGUUAGUGUUUUAAAAAUAUUUUCAGUUCAGCAUAAAUUGAAGUAUAUUGUUUUGUCUUCAGCUUGCAUAUAAGCAUUUCAGUUUAUCUUCUCUUAGUUUAAAAUGAUGUCUGUGAAGCUUUUUCUAUGCUUUGCAGGACAUUUUGUGUACACCAGAAUAUAAACAUGUGUGGCUUAGAAAAUCGUGUAAAUGAACACUACCAGAGAAAUAUUUUUUUAGACUGAACAAAAAGUUGCAGAAUAAAGAAUCAAUACAAUGCUGCUGCAUUUGUUGUUUUUAGAAGAUUGUAAAAAAGGGAACAAAUGUAUGCAAUAAUACCUCUAAAUCAUUGAAUUAAGAUUUUAAUCAAUCAAGCUUAUGUUGUUUCUGUGCUUAUCAGUAUAACUUAACCAAUGUUUGUCAGUUUUUUAUUAUUAUUUCUAAUUUCUAGUUCUUUUUUUAUUUUUAGGCAGUGAUAUACUGUAGUGUUGUGGGAAAGUUGUGUAGGUUUCUUACUUAAACGUUUGUUAAAUGUUUACUAUUGAAAAUAGUAAUAGUAAAAGUAGGACUGAAAGCAUCCAUUCCCUUUGGGUUGUCUAAUGCAGGGCCAUGAAAAAAGGAAGGAUUUAGAAUAUCCAGUCAAACCUAAUGAGCAGGUCUUUGGGAAGUAUGAGGAAAAUCACAAAUCACUCUACAAUACAAAAUAACAUACAGAGACAUACCUGAGACUGGAAUGAAACGCAAGACCCUGAAGCUGCCCGCAAGAGGCACAGAUUCAUUUGAAAGUUUAAUUCCACACCAGAAUCAAAAGUCUUCUUUUGCCUCAAGGGAAUACCUCUGUAAAAGUAAAUCUUAAUACUGAGCUUAAUUAUAGCCAGUCAAGGCAGCACAGUGGCACGGUGUUUAGCUUUGCUGAUAAUUUGGAUAGCUGAAUGUAUUAACAUAUUAUUGGGGAGUGGGGGGACAGGCAGUGAAAAGACAAAAAAGUUCAACUUCACAUAAAAAAUAGUUAUGUAUUUUUAACAUAACAUGAAAUAAUAACCAUGUCAACAUAAAAAGGAGCUGCAAGGAUUGCAAAAUGUAUAGUACUUCAUUGCGUGGUAUUCUCUGAACUUUGGAACUACAUGAAGAAGGAUUUUACAUUCAGCGCAUGUAAACUGGAUUUAUAUAAUAAAAAAAGUACAAACACACAUGGAAUGGAAUCUGGUUAGGAUUUAGUGUUUUCCUUCCAUCUAGAUGAUAAAUUAAGCAGCAGAUGAAUUUCAGAGAGUAGCUUAUUUGAAGUCCCUAUAUCCGUAUUCAUAACCUCACAUUUAUGAACAAAAAAUCACUGUAUUGCGAUGUCUCAUCUGUGUAGUAUGAGUGAUUGGACCUUUUGGUAUUCUGCUCAUCCUGAACUCCUUGUUAUCCUCCUGGUUGAAACUCCACAUCUAAUAUAGAGUUACAGAUUCUUCUGAUUUAACAGUCUGUGAAUGGAGGGUACAUAAUGUAAUAUAAUUUUAUACAGGAUACUUGCGCAGGUCUGGAAAGUCUGGAAAAGUAUGACAUUAAAAUGAUUUCCAGACCUUGAAAAGUUUGGAAAAUGAAACAUGUUUGGAAAACUUAUGGAAUCUUAAUAUAAAACAAAGUUCACUAAACAUAAAUAUAUUUGUAUUAAGAAUGCACACAAUCUACCUUCCUGUGUGUUUUCUAAAUUGGCUUCCUGAAAAAUUGGCUGGGUGUUUGAAAGAAGCACAGCCAAUCAAACUAAAAUCUACCCGUCUUAUGAUAACAUAAGGAAGUGAAGUUAAUUUGCUAUUUGUGAUUUCAUUCAGAUUGGGUUAAUGCGGUAUUUAAUAUUUAAAAUAUUAAUUAACCUUUUGAUGCGUACAGUCACACAUAUGUGAUCAUGGUUGACUGGUCUUUGCAACACAUCAUCUCUAAUACUGUAUGGCAUUAGAAUGUUAGCAACAAAAUGUUCUCAUGAUGAUGUAACAGUUCCGCCUAGCCCUGUUUUCUGUUUAGCAAGCUAAUAAAUGCAUUGCACUUAAGAAAAAUAAGUCUUCACAACUAACUCUUUUCUCAAAAUUUGAUGGUUCAUUGCAUUUAUAACUUGCAAUAAUGUUAAGAUUUACUAUAACAAUGACAGAUCUGUGACACAAAUUGCGCAAACAAUAGCUAUAUUUACAAAAUUCAGUCCUGCUGGUUGAGCUGAGUACUCAAAUUAGUCAGAUUUUGUGAAAGUGCUGAAAAAGUAGGAAUACCUAAUUAUUCCUAAUUAUUAAUUUAUUGGACAAAAUUAUUGAGCUAAUUUGCACAUUCUUGUUUCACAUAUGUGUCACUGAGAAAAUAAUCUAACCAAACAUAAGCAAAUUAAGAAACUUGUAAUAGAAAUAAUUUUGUGAAAAGUAUCUUGGUUUGAUGACACUGUAAAAUACAGGUUUACCUAGCUAUAGAAGACGUAGUCUAGCUAUAAUGGAAAAAGCCUUUUAUAUGAUGACUAGCUAUAUCUUAGAUUGUGAUAAAAGCCUUUAUGAUGAAGCAAAUUCUUGAAUUUUUGCACAGAAUUCUAAAAUUGUUUACAAAAACAAUGUCAUGCUUCUCGGGCUGUUAUUACGUGUGAAAAAUGUGUUCAGCAAUACAAAGUAAGAUUUGUUUGCUCUAAUUGUUUUCUCCAAUUCAUCAACUUGUUUGCAUUUAUAUAUUUUUAACACUGUACACCAUUCUUGCCUACAAUAUCAAAAGCAAAAGGGGCUUGUGUCCUUGCACCAUAACAGAAUAAAGUGGUAAAUUGAUGGGAAAAUUGUAGGGAAAAAACCUGAUAUUUCAUUCCGUUUGUUCUCAUUGCCUUCAGCCCAGUAAGGGGUAGUAAACCUUGCAGUUUCAUUGAAAA